UACGUGGGGCGCAAGCGUUGUCCGGAAUUAUUGGGCGUAAAGAGCUCGUAGGCGGCUUGUCACGUCGAUUGUGAAAGCUCGGGGCUUAACCCCGAGCCUGCAGUCGAUACGGGCUAGCUAGAGUGUGGUAGGGGAGAUCGGAAUUCCUGGUGUAGCGGUGAAAUGCGCAGAUAUCAGGAGGAACACCGGUGGCGAAGGCGGAUCUCUGGGCCAUUACUGACGCUGAGGAGCGAAAGCGUGGGGAGCGAACAGG
RNAcentral lists this ribosomal RNA (253 nucleotides) under uncultured bacterium. RNAcentral describes it as "partial 16S ribosomal RNA". It matches the Rfam family "Bacterial small subunit ribosomal RNA", at positions 524 to 776 of the family's 1533-position model. The record is from RNAcentral.